UGUAGUCUUCUUGCUUGGUAAUGACUGGGUGCUAAUCUAACUUCAUCAAGUGGUUUUUGCAAGUAGGGAAUAAACUUUUAAGAAGUCAAAUGUUUUGGGACAUCUUUAGACAUUCGUGCUGUGAAUAUAUUAGCCACUAAUCUUCCUUCCUUGCUUUUCUACAUAUUGCCAUGACAGCUUCACCUCAGACACAAAUUUAUGCAGUGAAAGACACAUGCAGUGAAAGACACAUGCAGUGAAAGAUCCUGAGAUGUAAAGGAAUAACAGCAAGAUUUUGAGCAAGAAUCAGAUUUGCAGAGACAAGCUCUUGAUUUUUUGCUUUCUAAAGGUUGGGGUGCAAAACUAAAUUUAACUGAAGCUAAAACAAAACACAAAUAAUAGGAGCUCAAGAUGGCAUGUGAAGGUUGGGUGAGAAAAUGUCACUUACCUAAAUUCAUCCUGUGAGUUUCCAUGACUGAGGGUUGACUAGUUGCAUGACAACUGUAAGUUGUUUUAUGCCCAGCCAUUCAUGAGUAAUCUUUCUAGGUAAAAGAGCAAGUAUGAUCUAGGACCUGAGGCGAAGAUAGCUAUGGUGGUAUAAAUGUGAGGGAAGAAUAAAAUGAUCUACUCCUUC
Long non-coding RNA from Pantherophis guttatus, 613 nucleotides. RefSeq lists it as uncharacterized. Lineage: Eukaryota; Metazoa; Chordata; Lepidosauria; Squamata; Colubridae. The record is from RefSeq and is a predicted model, not a curated record.